GACGAACGCUGGCGGCAUGCCUAACACAUGCAAGUCGAACGAGACCUUCGGGUCUAGUGGCGCACGGGUGCGUAACGCGUGGGAACCUGCCCUUAGGUUCGGAAUAACUCCCCGAAAGGGGUGCUAAUACCGGAUAAUGUCUUCGGAGCAAAGAUUUAUCGCCUUUGGAUGGGCCCGCGUUGGAUUAGCUAGUUGGUAGGGUAAAAGCCUACCAAGGCGACGAUCCAGAGCUGGUCUGAGAGGAUGAUCAGCCACACUGGGACUGAGACACGGCCCAGACUCCUACGGGAGGCAGCAGUGGGGAAUAUUGGACGAUGGGCGAAAGCCUGAUCCAGCAAUGCCGCGUAAGUGAUGAAGGCCUUAGGGUUGUAAAGCUCUUUUACCCGGGAUGAUAAUGACAGUACCGGGAGAAUAAGCUCCGGCUAACUCCGUG
Molecule: ribosomal RNA, 433 nt
Filed under: uncultured bacterium
Lineage: Bacteria
Description: partial 16S ribosomal RNA
Rfam family: Bacterial small subunit ribosomal RNA
Source: RNAcentral